This 1038-nucleotide long non-coding RNA is filed under the name Monodelphis domestica (gray short-tailed opossum). Its description in RNAcentral is "lncRNA (ENSMODG00000035788.2)". Lineage: Eukaryota; Metazoa; Chordata; Mammalia; Didelphimorphia; Didelphidae. The record is from RNAcentral.
CAUAGAGCACAAUACCUUUGUUGAUGUGGGCACGUCAUAUUCUGUGCCAAUAUUUCACAUCUCUCACAAUUGAUACCAAAGUUCUUCAGAGAGACCUUUGGUGUCCUUGUAUAGUUUCUUCUGACCUCCUUUUGAGCUCUUGCCUUCUAUGAGUUCUCCAUAAAAUAGUAUGUGGCUAGGUUGUCAGAAUUGUACUCUCUGCAGUAGAAUCUGAAUGCUUGGCAGUUCAGCUUGAGAAAGACCUUGGUAUCUGGUUCCUUAUUUUGGCCAGGUGAUCUUCAGAAUUUUUCUGAGACAAUCCAAAUGGACAAUAUUCACUUUCUUGGCAUGACUUUGGUUUACCAUUUCAUAGGCAUGCAGAGUAAAGUCAGAACAAUGGCUAUAUAGAUCUUCAAUUGAAUAGGAAACCUAAUACCUCUUCUCUCCCACUCUUUCCUUCAGAGCCUCUCAAUCACUGAGCUAACUGGCAAUGCAUGCAACAACGUCAUCAUCCAUUUGUACAACCCUGGAAAGUAUAUUGCCAAGGAAAGUGAACUCAUCCACAGCAUUCAAAAUUCCUUUAUUUGCUAUUAUGAAUGGUUCCACAUAUGGAUGGACCUGUGAUUGUGAGGUUCACUUUGUGUGAACCAACCCUACCCUGGGAUAACCCUCAUAGGAGUGUGAAUCGAGAGGAAAGUGGGAGUGAGCUUAAUGAAGAAAUGAGCUUAAUGAGCAAGGACUCUGACCGAAACAAUAGCAUGCGAGGGAUGGCUUUUGGCAUUCAUUUGAACCUGCUGAAGUGAUUUCUAAGCCUUCAGGAGUUCUCUCUGGGAAAAGGAAGGAGGAGGGAAACUGAGAAAAAUGAUGAUCAUAUAAAAGCAAAAGGUAUCAGUAAGAUUUAUUUUUUUUAAUUAUUAAAAUUUUGUAUUGAUUGAGGGCUAUCAUUUUGAGCCUUACUUAUUGUACUAGGUUAUAAUACAAUGAUAAUCCCAGGAGCCAUUGAAGUUUAUAGGAUUUUUUGACCCUAUAUGAUGUGGUCCCAGACCUUUUUAUCAGUGG